GCCUAGAGUUUGGAAGACUUGAGGUCAAAUCCAACCAUAGACAUUUACUGUAUGACCCUGGGCAAGUCACUUAACCCUGCUUGCCUCAGUUUCCUCAUCUGUAAAAUGGAGAUAAUAGCACCUAUCUCACAGGGUUGUGAGGAUCAAAU
Molecule: small nucleolar RNA, 149 nt
Filed under: Phascolarctos cinereus (koala)
Lineage: Eukaryota; Metazoa; Chordata; Mammalia; Diprotodontia; Phascolarctidae
Description: Small nucleolar RNA ACA59 (ENSPCIG00000007046.2)
Source: RNAcentral